Molecule: ribosomal RNA, 301 nt
Filed under: uncultured bacterium
Lineage: Bacteria
Description: partial 16S ribosomal RNA
Rfam family: Bacterial small subunit ribosomal RNA
Source: RNAcentral
CAGUCGCCGCGGUAAUACGAAAGGGGCUAGCGUUGUUCGGAUUUACUGGGCGUAAAGCGCACGUAGGCGGACGCUUAAGUCAGGGGUGAAAUCCCGAGGCUCAACCUCGGAACUGCCUUUGAUACUGGGUGUCUUGAGUCCGGAAGAGGUGAGUGGAACUGCGAGUGUAGAGGUGAAAUUCGUAGAUAUUCGCAAGAACACCAGUGGCGAAGGCGGCUCACUGGUCCGGAACUGACGCUGAGGUGCGAAAGCGUGGGGAGCAAACAGGAUUAGAUACCCCCGUAGUCUCUGUCUCUUAUAC